This is a small nuclear RNA of Dasypus novemcinctus (nine-banded armadillo), 107 nucleotides long. The record is from Ensembl. Lineage: Eukaryota; Metazoa; Chordata; Mammalia; Cingulata; Dasypodidae.
GUGCUUGCUUCAGCAGCACAUCAACUAAAAUUGGAAAGAUAUAGAGAAGAUUAGCAUGACCCCUAAGGAAGGAUGACACACAACUUCAUGAAGUAUUCUAUAUUUUU